Molecule: long non-coding RNA, 140 nt
Organism: Gavialis gangeticus (Gharial)
Lineage: Eukaryota; Metazoa; Chordata; Crocodylia; Gavialidae
Exons: 3
Source: RefSeq, a predicted model, not a curated record
GAGACCUAACACAAGGUCAAACAGUCAUAAACUACUGCACGUCCGUUUCAGGCCGGACAUAAGUAAGAAUUUCUUUACUGUCCGAGCCCGCAAGGUCUGGAAUGGUCUGCCAUCAGAGGUGGUUCAAGCACCUACACUGA